Molecule: long non-coding RNA, 1359 nt
Filed under: Elaeis guineensis (African oil palm)
Lineage: Eukaryota; Viridiplantae; Streptophyta; Magnoliopsida; Arecales; Arecaceae
Description: long non-coding RNA (EGUI_LNC037272)
Source: RNAcentral
CCUAAAUUUUGCUGAUCUUUAUAGAUUCUAAAGAACAUCACCCUAAAGGCUGCUUCUUCUCAAACCCUAUUGGCGCUUUCCUAUUACAUUUUCCAAAUAGAUGCAAGAUUUUCACCUUGGGUCCCUUUCUCUUGCUACCAUGCAAAUCUCUCUAAUAACCCAAGUAAGAACCUCAUUUGCAUUCUAUAUCCCAUAAUAAAUAUUUUUAGACAGUUAUGUUUUUGCCCCACAAUUUCAAAAUUCUAAACAUCAGUAUGCCUCCAAGUAAAAGAAGCAUGUCUUACACUAAAGCAAAUACAGAUCUCAUCUUUCCAUAGGUUGACUUCAAAAUUCUAAACAUCGGUAUGCCUCCAAGCAAAAAAAGCAUGUCUUCCACUAAAAGCAAAUACAGAUCUUAUCUUUCCAUAGGUCCAAAAUCCAAACUGGGUUUGCUAGAACUACCAACCCUCCAAGGCAAUCCCAUAUAGAAAAUAAGGAAAGCUCACACCUGCAUGACGUAGUUCUCUCCAAAUAAUAAGGAAAUUGGGUUGGCUAAAACUCCAGUCCGUCAUCCUAAUUCUCUACAAGCCACCAAAUCAAGGCAUAUUUCAGAAUGCUCGGUUUCCUAUAUUAAAUGUUACUAAAUCUUUGUAACAGGAAUCUUUACUUGGGGUGUUAUCACCUCUUCUAAAUCUCCCCAGAAACUUGUCCUUGCACCCGCUUCUUUAUUUUAAAAAAUAAAUUCAAUAGACCUAAUUCCCUGCUCCCAUCCUAGAAUCUGCUCCUGCACCUUCACCUGCACCCAAUUCAGGGUAAAUAAGCUCUAAAUAUAAGAAUCACAUCAGCAUAAUAAUGAUGCAUGAUAGGAUAACCUCCUUCCUCCUCUGCAAAUAUCUACUUUCCCACUAGAAAUCAUGAAUAUACUCCCAACUGGUUAACUUAUAUUUGUCAACGGCUUCACUACAUUUUUUUCUUAACCCCUCGAUCCCAAUGGUUUAGCAUGUCACCGGCUGGACUCUUGUUGCCUUACCCAUUAUUACUGUGAGAAGAAUUUCUUCGACAAGAUAACAUUAAUCAGGAUUGAGAACGACACCAAAUUCAUGCAAUUACAUACUAUUGCUCUUAAGAAUGCAGUAGUAAAGAUCUAGAACAUCCAUCAAACCAAUUUGGCCAUCACUGCACCCUGCCUUCUCUAAUUGUAAACCUGAUGUACUUCUAUCUUAUGUUCUUAUAAACACCCCAACAUUUUCACUUCUAGUUUUCCUUGGAUCCGAUGAUAGGCUGUCAUAAAUUAUGCAAAAUACAUGCAGAUUUUCCUAAAAGUAGGAAGCCUAGACAUGGGCCUUCAUUUUAUAAGAACAGUCAAUAAGCACAACUUCN